GAUCAUUACCGAGUUUACAACUCCCAAACCCCUGUGAACAUACCACUUGUUGCCUCGGCGGAUCAGCCCGCUCCCGGUAAAACGGGACGGCCCGCCAGAGGACCCCUAAACUCUGUUUCUAUAUGUAACUUCUGAGUAAAACCAUAAAUAAAUCAAAACUUUCAACAACGGAUCUCUUGGUUCUGGCAUCGAUGAAGAACGCAGCAAAAUGCGAUAAGUAAUGUGAAUUGCAGAAUUCAGUGAAUCAUCGAAUCUUUGAACGCACAUUGCGCCCGCCAGUAUUCUGGCGGGCAUGCCUGUUCGAGCGUCAUUUCAACCCUCAAGCACAGCUUGGUGUUGGGACUCGCGUUAAUUCGCGUUCCUCAAAUUGAUUGGCGGUCACGUCGAGCUUCCAUAGCGUAGUAGUAAAACCCUCGUUACUGGUAAUCGUCGCGGCCACGCCGUUAAACCCCAACUUCUGAAUGUUGACCUCGGAUCAGGUAGGAAUACCCGCUGAACUU
This 500-nucleotide ribosomal RNA is filed under the name fungal sp. E14514D. Its description in RNAcentral is "eukaryotic LSU rRNA". The stretch from base 157 to 310 matches the Rfam family "5.8S ribosomal RNA". Lineage: Eukaryota; Fungi. The record is from RNAcentral.